Molecule: unclassified non-coding RNA, 287 nt
Filed under: rhizosphere metagenome
Description: partial ribosomal RNA internal transcribed spacer region
Source: RNAcentral
GUAGGUGAACCUGCGGUAGGAUCAUUUCCGAAAAACUUUAUACCAACCCUCAAUGUGCACUGUUUUGGGUUACUUUACUCUUCUCCAUUAGGGGACGUUGUUGGCACGGCAUGGGUUUGAUAUCGUACACACUCAGUGUGUCUGUAUCUUAUCCUCUGUUGUGUUUUCCCCGUUUGUGGAGGAGAGGCCUUGAUGCACUACCUCUUUACGAAGGUUGUAUACCAUACGUUUUAAAUCUCGAUAUUAAAAUGAUACGACAACUUUUAACGGUGGAUCUCUUGGCUCGU